GAUGAACGCUGGCGGCGUGCCUAAUACAUGCAAGUCGAGCGAACAGACGAGGAGCUUGCUCCUCUGACGUUAGCGGCGGACGGGUGAGUAACACGUGGAUAACCUACCUAUAAGACUGGGAUAACUUCGGGAAACCGGAGCUAAUACCGGAUAAUAUAUUGAACCGCAUGGUUCAAUAGUGAAAGACGGUUUUGCUGUCACUUAUAGAUGGAUCCGCGCCGCAUUAGCUAGUUGGUAAGGUAACGGCUUACCAAGGCAACGAUGCGUAGCCGACCUGAGAGGGUGAACGGCCACACUGGAACUGAGACACGGUCCCGACUCCUACGGGAGGCAGCAGGAGGGAAUCUUUCACAAUGGGCGAAAGCUUUAACGAGGCAACCCGCGUGGGUGAAGAAGGGCUUCGGGUUGUAAAACCCCUUUAAUAGGGAAGAAAAAAAUGUGAAGGAAACAAUGCCGUUCUGACGGUACCUAAUCAGAAAGCCACGGCUAACUACGUG
This 497-nucleotide ribosomal RNA is filed under the name uncultured bacterium. RNAcentral's name for it is "partial 16S ribosomal RNA". It matches the Rfam family "Bacterial small subunit ribosomal RNA", at positions 28 to 507 of the family's 1533-position model. The record is from RNAcentral.